UGGAGAAGAUAUUCCUCAAAUCACUCACAGUCACAUGAAGUUGUCUGACCUCUACAAGAAAAUUCACAUGAAGACUGACGUAGAUCAGGGGCUUGGAGGUGCUAGCCUGCAAGCAACUUUAUCGACUGAUCUCUUCUUUUUUCUUCAAGCACCUUAGAUGCUCCAAAGGAUGAAAAAAUUUAGAGGAGGAAGAGAGGAGGAGAAGAGCUCUGAUAAAAUAAAAACUAGCAAGAGAAUUGAUGUACGAUGCCAAGAAUUGGGGACCCCUUUUUAUAGGCAAAGACUAAGGUUUUUCAUCCAAGGGAAGGGC
This 310-nucleotide long non-coding RNA is filed under the name Elaeis guineensis (African oil palm). RNAcentral's name for it is "long non-coding RNA (EGUI_LNC057388)". The record is from RNAcentral. Lineage: Eukaryota; Viridiplantae; Streptophyta; Magnoliopsida; Arecales; Arecaceae.